UGGGGCGUCGGGGAGUGCGCGAGGCGGCCCGGGUUGUGUGCACUGGCGGAGACAAAGAGGUGGCGGUGGCGGCAGUGGCGGAGCAGCGUUAGACGCCGAAUUUUGUAGUGCUGAGUCCUGUCACCAUCUCAUCUAGCGCGGCGCGAGGGCGGCUGGUCUCGCGGCGGCGGCGGCGGACGCGGAGGUGGCGGCAGCACAUGGUUCCAAGAGCGCCCUGCGGUUAUUGGGUUCCAAUUCCGUGGGGAGGGACAAAGGCAGCUGUGAGCGCCGGGCAACGCCCGGUCGGGUGGUGCUCUCGCCACUGCCCUCGAUCCGGGCCUUGAAAACUGGGACUAACUUGUCUCCGUGAGGAGGAGACCACGGGACCGAGGCCCAGGGAGGGCCUGAGAGGCUGAGGCCGCUGUCUGAGGGAAAGGGGGAGGGGCGCGGCCCGCCUGAGUUGAUUGGGUGGGUCAAUUCUGUGGCGACGUAGUGGGCCACUGUGAGGUAAUUUGACUCACUACCCUGAGGAAAUUGGGGCGCACAGCAAGCUAGGUUUGAUCUGGGCUUUGAAAACGGAAAUCGGUCUUCAGCGCUUAGGAAAUCUUUCAGUUGGUAGGUGGUGAAGCCGGAACUAACGCCAUAUGCACUUGAGCAACAUCGUGAUCGCCACUCUGGGGCUUAUUUAAGGAUCCUGGGAUCAUUGAUGGCGAAGACAUGCGUGGCUAUCCAGCUUUAUGACUGAAGUUGCUAGACUUCCGGAUUGGUAAGUUUCCGGAUUGGUGAAUCUCCUCAUAGGAAAUUUAGAGAAACAACAACAAACAACUCGGAAGAACGUGAAGAUGGAGCAGUAAUUAAAUCGCCAACUCCAGUAUCAGCUACUCUAGGACGAACCACGUUCCACUCAGUGAAUUAUCGCAAAUUCAUGCUAAUGUUCCUUAAGACUACAGAUUUAUGACAGUUUAUUCCAAAGUAUUACAUCGUAGUCAUUGAGAGGAUAAAAAAAUUUAAGGAAGAAAUCAGUUUUUGUUUUAGACGUCUUUUCGAAUAUAUUUUAGGUGGAUAACUAGGUAAUUUUGUUAACUGAGGAGCACAGAUUCACCAACUCUUUACUGGAAGGAGUCCUGAAAAAUCUAUUCCAUUGUAAGCUUGUAUUUCCCAAUUAGUGGUUAAAGAACUGGAGAGACAUCGCCGCACUCAUGGCUUUCACGAAUUACAGCAGUCUGAAUCGAGCUCAGCUAACCUUUGAAUAUCUACACACGAAUUCAACCACUCAUGAGUUCUUGUUUGGUGCUCUUGCUGAACUAGUUGAUAAUGCAAGAGAUGCUGAUGCCACAAGAAUUGAUAUUUAUGCAGAAAGGCGAGAGGACCUUCGAGGAGGGUUUAUGCUUUGUUUUUUGGAUGAUGGAGCGGGAAUGGAUCCAAGUGAUGCUGCCAGCGUGAUCCAGUUCGGGAAGUCGGCCAAGCGAACGCCUGAGUCCACCCAGAUCGGGCAGUACGGGAAUGGGUUAAAGUCGGGCUCGAUGCGCAUCGGGAAGGAUUUCAUCCUCUUCACCAAGAAGGAAGACACCAUGACCUGCCUCUUCCUGUCACGCACCUUUCAUGAGGAGGAAGGCAUUGAUGAGGUGAUAGUCCCGUUGCCCACUUGGAACGCUCGGACCCGGGAACCUGUCACAGACAAUGUGGAGAAGUUUGCCAUUGAGACAGAACUCAUCUACAAAUAUUCUCCCUUCCACAAUGAAGAGGAGGUGAUGACUCAGUUCAUGAAGAUUCUUGGGGACAGCGGAACUCUGGUAAUCAUCUUCAACCUCAAACUUAUGGAUAACGGAGAGCCAGAGCUGGACAUAAUCUCAAAUCCAAGGGAUAUCCAGAUGGCAGAGACUUCACCGGAGGGCACGAAGCCAGAGCGCCGCUCCUUCCGUGCCUACGCUGCCGUGCUCUACAUUGAUCCCCGGAUGCGGAUCUUCAUCCACGGGCACAAGGUGCAGACCAAGCGGCUCUCCUGCUGCCUGUACAAGCCCAGGAUGUACAAGUACACAUCAAGCCGGUUCAAGACCCGCGCGGAGCAGGAGGUGAAGAAAGCUGAGCACGUGGCGAGGAUUGCUGAAGAGAAGGCACGGGAGGCAGAGAGCAAAGCUCGGACGUUGGAAGUGCGCCUGGGCGGAGACCUCACGCGGGACUCCAGGGUGAUGUUGCGACAGGUCCAGAACACAGCCAUUACCCUGCGCAGGGAAGCCGAUGUCAAGAAGCGGAUCAAGGAAGCCAAGCAGCGAGCACUUAAGGAACCCAAGGAGCUGAACUUUGUUUUUGGGGUGAACAUUGAGCACCGGGGCCUGGAUGGAAUGUUCAUCUACAACUGUAGCCGCCUGAUCAAGAUGUACGAGAAAGUGGGCCCGCAGCUGGAAGGUGGCAUGGCGUGCGGCGGAGUUGUCGGGGUCGUCGAUGUGCCCUACCUGGUCCUGGAGCCCACACACAACAAGCAGGACUUUGCGGACGCCAAGGAGUACCGGCACCUCCUGCGGGCCAUGGGGGAGCACCUGGCGCAGUACUGGAAGGACAUCGCCAUUGCCCAGCGGGGAAUCAUCAAGUUCUGGGAUGAGUUUGGCUACCUCUCUGCCAACUGGAACCAGCCCCCAUCCAGUGACCUGCGCUACAAGCGGCGGCGAUCCAUGGAGAUCCCGACCACCAUCCAGUGUGAUCUGUGUCUGAAGUGGCGGACACUCCCCUUUCAGCUGAAUUCUGUGGAGAGAGAUUACCCUGACACUUGGGUUUGCUCCAUGAACCCUGAUCCUGAGCAGGACCGGUGUGAGGCUUCAGAGCAGAAGCAGAAGUUUCCCUUGGGGACAUUGAAAAAGGACCUGAAGACACAGGAAGAGAAGCAGAAGCAACUGACAGAAAAAAUUCGCCAGCAGCAGGAGAAGCUGGAGGCCCUGCAAAAAACCACACCCAUUCGCUCCCAGGCUGACCUGAAGAAACUGCCUUUGGAAGUGACCACCAGACCUUCCUCUGAGGAACCUGCACGUAGACCUCAGCGCCCUCGGUCACCUCCUUUACCUGCUGUGAUCAAGAAUGCCCCGAGCAGACCCCCUUCCCUGCAAGCUCCCAGGCCAGCCAGCCAGCCCAGGAAGGCUCCUGUCAUCAGUAACGCCCCAAAGCCUGCUGCCCCGGCUGCCCGGGAGGAGGCCAGCACUUCCCGGCUGCUCCAGCCUCCCGAGGCACCCCGGAAGCCUGCCAACGCUCUGGUCAGGCCUGCGUCCCGGCCCACCCCAGCAGUACAGCCACCGUUACCAUCUCCCCAGUCCAACUCCAGGAGCCCUCGGGAGGUCCCUUCCCCCCGAGCUCUGAAGACUCCAGUGGUCAAGAAGCCAGAGCUGCCCACUAAACUCUCCCCGGCCACUCCCAGUCGGAAGCGGAGCCUCGGGGUCUCUGAUGAGGAAGACGCAGAGGAAGAGGCUGAGAAGAGGAAGGAGAGGUCCAAGCGGGGCAAGCUGGCUGUGAAGGAGGAAAAGAAGGACUUGAGUGAGCUCUCAGACAGCUCUGGGGAAGAGGACUCGGCUGACCUCAAGAGCGCUCAGAGAGAUAAGGGGCUGCACGUGGAGGUGCGUGUGAAUAGGGAGUGGUACACAGGCCGUGUCACAGCUGUGGAGGUGGGCAAGAAUGCGGUGCGGUGGAAGGUGAAAUUUGACUAUGUGCCCACGGACACAACACCAAGAGACCGCUGGGUGGAGAAAGGCAGCGACGAUGUGCGGUUGAUGAAGCCCCCGUCCCCAGAGUAUCAGAGCCCAGACACACGCCAGGAGGGCAGAGAAGAGGCAGCGGCGGCCCCAGCGGGGGGUUCGGUGGCCCAGCAAGCUGUAGCCUCGGCGGAGCCCUCCACCUCUGACUGCAUCCCUAUCGAGCCUGACACCACCGCCCCCAGCACCAACCACGAGACCAUUGACCUCCUCGUCCAGAUUCUUCGGAAUUGUUUACGGUACUUCCUGCCUCCGAGUUUCCCCAUCUCUAAGAAGGAGCUGAGUGCUAUGAAUUCAGAUGAGCUGAUAUCGUUUCCUCUGAAAGAGUACUUCAAGCAGUAUGAAGUUGGGCUCCAGAACCUGUGCCAUUCCUACCAGAGCCGUGCCGACUCGCGGGCCAAGGCUUCUGAGGAGAGCCUGCGCACCUCCGAGAGAAAGCUGCGUGAGACCGAGGAGAAGCUGCAGAAGCUGAGGACCAACAUCGUGGCACUCCUGCAAAAGGUGCAGGAGGUGAGCCAGGCCACCCUCUCGUUGCAGCGGCCCACCUGGUGUCUCGGGGGCGGGGGGCCUGGGUACCUCGUGCUCCCUUCUCCCCACUCACAGGAAUGUGUGGUUCCAACCCUGGCGGCACAGCAUCCUGACCAGGCGGGCUGGAGGUGGUGCGGCUGCUGGGCCCCGUCCCAGCCACACCCACGGUAUCAGACUUUUGCCCUUGUGUAGACACGGUGACCUGCAACCUGGUUUGAGACACCUUGGAGUCAUGAAACAAAGACAUUCUUGGUUUUCCAGAUGACGCCUGGGUGGGAGUGGGUAGCCCACAAGCCGGGAAUGUCCUGUGGUCUCAGCCCUUCUUCUGGGCAGGAAUCUGGGGAUCCCUGUCCUGUGACCCCUGGUGACCAACAGGGGCCCUGCUCUCGGACCACAGCAGGGGAGGAGACAGAACUGUUGAUGGUGGGAAGUGCCAUGAAAAAAAAACAGGAGAGCGCGACAGGAAGCCGCUGUACUAGAGUGUCAGGAGAGCCUCUGAGGAGGAGGUUGGGCCCAAGGCAGAGCCAGACGUGCUGGGGGGGUGUGAGCUGUAGGCAGAGAAGAGCAGGGCCCACGGCAGGGCCCUGGGCCAGGUGGGAGGUCCCUGGACCUUGUGGUGCUGAGACGUGUGCAGCCUAAGACACUUACUUUGGUUGGUUGUAGGAGAGGCCGAGGUUAGAGUCCAGGACUCCACUGAGGAGGUUCCCAGUUAUCUGGGUGAGAGAUUCUGGAGGCCUGAGCCUUGGAUGGUGCCAGUGAGGAGGGAGAGAAGCGUCUGGGGGAGGACAGGGAACAAGGGCAACUGUUCGAGUCUGAGUCCCUGAGUAGAGGGAAGAGGGCACCUGUACUGAGACGGGAACAACCCGGGGUGGGCAGGAGUGGGAGGACGGAGAGGGGAUGGAUGAUUAAGGGUGGCCCAACAGGGUGGAGGGGGGAAGAGUAGAGGGCAUGGCCUGGGCUGCAAGAAGGCUGGGGAGGCGGGCCUCCCACCACCCUGUGAGCCCUGGCUGACCCUGCCCUGCUCUGUUCCAGGACUUAGACAUUAACACAGACGACGAGCUGGAUGCCUACAUCGAGGACCUGAUCACCAAGGGGGACUAGGGCCCGGAGCCAGAGAUCAGCUCCUCUGCCCCUCAAGGCAGAGCUCCUGAGGGUGGCGUUUCAUUUAUGGGUUGAUGGACUUACCUUGGUUUGAUUCACGGGAUAUCUGUGCUUUUGGUGGGAGAGAGACUGAUUCUUUGACUCUUCCACCCUAAGUUGAUAAAUAUUUAUUUUUUGAAAGAAACAACAUGCUGUGCCUGCUGUGAGACCAUACUUUUUUUUGGUGACUCUUGGGCAAAGGACAGAACCAGGAUGCCAAGUCUUGAGUUGCUUCUCUCGGUUCCUGGCUUCUCAAGAUGUGGUGAAUUCCAGCACCGUGUGGAAGUUGGAGGGGCUCCAGGGGCAGGGCUGGGGGGCAGACAGGACCCUUCCCAGGCUGGUGCUCCCCCAGGAACUCCAAUCCAGGGCAUCUCCAUGGGGCUGCCAUCAGCAGGCGGCUUGGCGCUGAGGAGCUCCCUGCCUCAGGUCAGGGAGGUGAGUGGUGGUCUGAGCGGCCAGUCUUCUUGGCUGUGGCACUGUCAGUCAGCUCGGGGGAGAAAGAUCCUCCUGUUCAGCGUCCCCAUCCACCACCUAAAUUCUCCCUGCUGGAUGUUUCCUUAGCUAGCAGUAGACGGUGAGGUUUCCUGCCACAAAAACUCGAGUCCAGGUUAAGGCGUGGACAGAUCUGACUGGGCAGCCUGCUGACCUGGGUAGCACAUCGUUUGCGUUCCAGAGGAGUCCCCUUAGGAGUCCUGUGCGUGAGGAGCGCCGUGCUGGUCUGGUGGUGGCCUCGGCCGCCACUGUGGCAGGGUCCUGGGGAGGACUGCUGCUCUUCCUGCUUCCCCUCUGUUCGCCCUACCACGCCCUGUCAGGGUCUCCGGUUUGGGGCAGAUGGGAGGAGGGGGUCACCGAGCCCCUGGGCAUGCCAUGCCUUCCUCUGCCUGGUCACAGCCUCAUACUGCUGUGGUCCUCAAACAACUCAGGGUCAAAGACCAAGGCCAGAGUCGCUGAGUUUUCUGUAAUGGCCGUUGGAAAAGUUCUGGUUCGAUUUCCCCCAACUCACUCCUUAUCCCCUUUUAUUUGGGGACUUUGGGUUUUCUGAAGGCACAAGAACCAUGAUCUUGCCCCACUGGCCCGCAAUUCUGACCUCUCAGUGUGUUUCCAGCGUCCGCCCACCUCUGCUCAGCAGGGGCCAUGUGCCGCCCUGUGAAGACUGCAGGAGACGGGGAAGCGAUGGCGAGGGAGGCAGGCCACAGGGGAGUUAAGGUCUCUGCCCACUUGUGCACGUGCCGGAAGUGCCUAUGAUGUGUGGGCUUGGGACUUCUCAAAACCACACCCCUGGGCAAGGGCUGUUCCAGAGAAAUACCAGGGAGGCCCUGACCUCUUCCUCGGAAGAUUCUCCCAGAGUCUUGGGGUUUCUUGAGCUGGUAGUUCCUAUCCUGUCCGGCUCGUUCUCAUCACAGGCAGCGUAUGAUCCAUUUUUUGUCCCCAAACUUCCUGUUUUCAUUUAGAUAGAAGCUGAUUCUGCAUUUUUACCAGAGGGUAAUACUCAAGGUUUUUUAUUUACACACCUGUAAUCAAAAUGCAAUACUAUAAACUUUUACUGGCGAGACUCCUGAA
RNA transcript from Capra hircus (goat), 6941 nucleotides. It is a transcript of the gene named MORC family CW-type zinc finger 2, with no coding region annotated. NCBI's taxonomy places the organism in Eukaryota, Metazoa, Chordata, Mammalia, Artiodactyla, Bovidae. The transcript has 26 exons. The record is from RefSeq and is a predicted model, not a curated record.